GGGCUGAUAGUGUAGCGGUGAUCAUACUUGCCUUCCAAGCAAGUGACAGGGGUUCGACUCCCCUUCAGCUCA
Molecule: transfer RNA, 72 nt
Organism: Tortispora caseinolytica NRRL Y-17796
Lineage: Eukaryota; Fungi; Ascomycota; Trigonopsidomycetes; Trigonopsidales; Trigonopsidaceae
Rfam family: tRNA
About the family: Transfer RNA (tRNA) molecules are approximately 80 nucleotides in length. Their secondary structure includes four short double-helical elements and three loops (D, anti-codon, and T loops).
Source: Rfam